This 253-nucleotide ribosomal RNA is filed under the name uncultured bacterium. RNAcentral describes it as "partial 16S ribosomal RNA". It matches the Rfam family "Bacterial small subunit ribosomal RNA", at positions 524 to 776 of the family's 1533-position model. The record is from RNAcentral.
UACGUAGGGGGCGAGCGUUGUCCGGAAUUACUGGGCGUAAAGAGCUCGUAGGUGGUUUGUCGCGUUGUUCGUGAAAACUCACAGCUCAACUGUGGGCGUGCGGGCGAUACGGGCAGACUGGAGUACUGCAGGGGAGACUGGAAUUCCUGGUGUAGCGGUGGAAUGCGCAGAUAUCAGGAGGAACACCGGUGGCGAAGGCGGGUCUCUGGGCAGUAACUGACGCUGAGGAGCGAAAGCGUGGGGAGCGAACAGG